RNAcentral lists this ribosomal RNA (337 nucleotides) under Chlamydocapsa ampla. RNAcentral describes it as "eukaryotic LSU rRNA". It matches the Rfam family "Eukaryotic large subunit ribosomal RNA", at positions 1 to 345 of the family's 3401-position model. The record is from RNAcentral. Lineage: Eukaryota; Viridiplantae; Chlorophyta; Chlorophyceae; Chlamydomonadales; Palmellopsidaceae.
GACCUGAGCUCAGGCAAGAUUACCCGCUGAACUUAAGCAUAUCAAUAAGCGGAGGAAAAGAAACUAACAAGGAUUUCCUUAGUAACGGCGAGUGAAACGGAAAAAGCCCAACUUGAAAAUCUCCCUUUGGAGAAUUGUAGUCUAUAGAAGCGCCCUCUGUAGCGGGCGAAGCCUAAGUUCGCUGGAAAGCGGCGUCAGAGAGGGUGAGAACCCCGUCGGCUUCUGCUUUGCUGCCCCACGAGGUGCUUUCCACGAGUCGGGUUGUUUGGGAAUGCAGCCCUAAAUUGGAGGUAAAUCCCUUCUAAGGCUAAAUACUGGCGAGAGACGGAUAGCGAAC